UACGUAGGGUGCAAGCGUUGUCCGGAAUUAUUGGGCGUAAAGAGCUCGUAGGCGGCUUGUCACGUCGACUGUGAAAACCCGGGGCUCAACUCCGGGCCUGCAGUCGAUACGGGCUGGCUUGAGUGCGGUAGGGGAGACUGGAAUUCCUGGUGUAGCGGUGAAAUGCGCAGAUAUCAGGAGGAACACCGGUGGCGAAGGCGGGUCUCUGGGCCUGACCUGACGCUGAGGAGCGAAAGCGUGGGGAGCGAACAGG
Molecule: ribosomal RNA, 253 nt
Filed under: uncultured bacterium
Lineage: Bacteria
Description: partial 16S ribosomal RNA
Rfam family: Bacterial small subunit ribosomal RNA
Source: RNAcentral